RNAcentral lists this ribosomal RNA (1533 nucleotides) under Mycoplasmopsis arginini. RNAcentral describes it as "Mycoplasma arginini 16S ribosomal RNA". It matches the Rfam family "Bacterial small subunit ribosomal RNA". The record is from RNAcentral. Lineage: Bacteria; Bacillati; Mycoplasmatota; Mycoplasmoidales; Metamycoplasmataceae.
CAAAUUUUAAGAGUUUGAUCCUGGCUCAGGAUGAACGCUGGCUGUGUGCCUAAUACAUGCAUGUCGAGCGAGGUUCUUUUGAACCUAGCGGCGAAUGGGUGAGUAACACGUGCUUAAUCUACCCUUUAGAUUGGAAUACCCAAUGGAAACAUUGGCUAAUGCCGGAUACGCAUGGAAUCGCAUGAUUCCGUUGUGAAAGGAGCCYUUAAAGCUCCGCUAGAGGAUGAGGGUGCGGAACAUUAGUUAGUUGGUAGGGUAAUGGCCUACCAAGACUAUGAUGUUUAGCCGGGUCGAGAGACUGAACGGCCACAUUGGGACUGAGAUACGGCCCAAACUCCUACGGGAGGCAGCAGUAGGGAAUAUUCCACAAUGAGCGAAAGCUUGAUGGAGCRACACAGCGUGCACGAUGAAGGUCUUCGGAUUGUAAAGUGCUGUUAUAGGGAAAGAACACCUGGUUGAGGAAAUGCUUCCAGGCUGACGGUACCCUGUCAGAAAGCGAUGGCUAACUAUGUGCCAGCAGCCGCGGUAAUACAUAGGUCGCAAGCGUUAUCCGGAAUUAUUGGGCGUAAAGCGUUCGUAGGCUGUUUAUUAAGUCUGGAGUCAAAUCCCAGGGCUCAACCCUGGCUCGCUUUGGAUACUGGUAAACUAGAGUUAGAUAGAGGUAAGCGGAAUUCCAUGUGAAGCGGUGAAAUGCGUAGAUAUAUGGAAGAACACCAAAGGCGAAGGCAGCUUACUGGGUCUAUACUGACGCUGAGGGACGAAAGCGUGGGGAGCAAACAGGAUUAGAUACCCUGGUAGUCCACGCCGUAAACGAUGAUCAUUAGUCGGUGGAGAGUUCACUGACGCAGCUAACGCAUUAAAUGAUCCGCCUGAGUAGUAUGCUCGCAAGAGUGAAACUUAAAGGAAUUGACGGGGACCCGCACAAGCGGUGGAGCAUGUGGUUUAAUUUGAAGAUACGCGGAGAACCUUACCCACUCUUGACAUCCUUCGCAAUGCUAUAGAGAUAUAGCGGAGGUUAACGGAGUGACAGAUGGUGCAUGGUUGUCGUCAGCUCGUGUCGUGAGAUGUUUGGUCAAGUCCUGCAACGAGCGCAACCCCUAUCUUUAGUUACUAACGAGUCAUGUCGAGGACUCUAGAGAUACUGCCUGGGUAACUGGGAGGAAGGUGGGGAUGACGUCAAAUCAUCAUGCCUCUUACGAGUGGGGCAACACACGUGCUACAAUGGUCGGUACAAAGAGAAGCAAUAUGGCGACAUGGAGCAAAUCUCAAAAAGCCGAUCUCAGUUCGGAUUGGAGUCUGCAAUUCGACUCCAUGAAGUCGGAAUCGCUAGUAAUCGCAGAUCAGCUACGCUGCGGUGAAUACGUUYUCGGGUCUUGUACACACCGCCCGUCACACCAUGGGAGCUGGUAAUACCCAAAGUCGGUUAGCUAACCUCGGAGGCGACCGCCUAAGGUAGGACUGGUGACUGGGGUGAAGUCGUAACAAGGUAUCCCUACGAGAACGUGGGGAUGGAUCACCUCCUUUCAUACGGAG